AAUAGAUACCCAGGUAGUCCACGCCGUAAACGAUGAGUGCUAAGUGUUAGAGGGUUUCCGCCCUUUAGUGCUGAAGUUAACGCAUUAAGCACUCCGCCUGGGGAGUACGGCCGCAAGGCUGAAACUCAAAGGAAUUGACGGGGGCCCGCACAAGCGGUGGAGCAUGUGGUUUAAUUCGAAGCAACGCGAAGAACCUUACCAGGUCUUGGCAUCCUCUGACAACCCUAGAGAUAGGGCUUCUCCUUCGGGAGCAGAGUGACAGGUGGUGCAUGGUUGUCGUCAGCUCAUGUCGUGAGAUGUUGGGUUAAGUCCCGCAACGAGCGCAACCCUUGAUCUUAGUUGCCAUCAUUUAGUUGGGCACUCUAAGGUGACUGCCGGUGACAAACCGGAGGAAGGUGGGGAUGACGUCAAAUCAUCAUGCCCCUUAUGACCUGGGCUACACACGUGCUACAAUGGACGGUACAAAGAGCUGCAAGACCGCGAGGUGGAGCUAAUCUCAUAAAACCGUUCUCAGUUCAGAUUGU
This 524-nucleotide ribosomal RNA is filed under the name uncultured bacterium. RNAcentral's name for it is "bacterial SSU rRNA". It matches the Rfam family "Bacterial small subunit ribosomal RNA", at positions 777 to 1301 of the family's 1533-position model. The record is from RNAcentral.